ACGGAGGCAGCAGUGGGGAAUAUUGCACAAUGGGCGAAAGCCUGAUGCAGCGACGCCGCGUGAGUGAAGAAGUAUUUCGGUAUGUAAAGCUCUAUCAGCAGGGAAGAAAAAUGACGGUACCUGACUAAGAAGCACCGGCUAAAUACGUGCCAGCAGCCGCGGUAAUACGUAUGGUGCAAGCGUUAUCCGGAUUUACUGGGUGUAAAGGGAGCGCAGGCGGUACGGCAAGUCUGAUGUGAAAGCCCGGGGCUCAACCCCGGUACUGCAUUGGAAACUGUCGGACUAGAGUGUCGGAGGGGUAAGCGGAAUUCCUAGUGUAGCGGUGAAAUGCGUAGAUAUUAGGAGGAACACCAGUGGCGAAGGCGGCUUACUGGACGAUAACUGACGCUGAGGCUCGAAAGCGUGGGGAGCAAACAGGAUUAGAUACCCUGGUA
RNAcentral lists this ribosomal RNA (434 nucleotides) under uncultured Roseburia sp. Its description in RNAcentral is "partial 16S ribosomal RNA". It matches the Rfam family "Bacterial small subunit ribosomal RNA", at positions 341 to 792 of the family's 1533-position model. The record is from RNAcentral. Lineage: Bacteria; Bacillati; Bacillota; Clostridia; Lachnospirales; Lachnospiraceae.